GAUGAACGCUGGCGGCGUGCCUAAUACAUGCAAGUCGAGCGAACAGACGAGGAGCUUGCUCCUCUGACGUUAGCGGCGGACGGGUGAGUAACACGUGGAUAACCUACCUAUAAGACUGGGAUAACUUCGGGAAACCGGAGCUAAUACCGGAUAAUAUAUUGAACCGCAUGGUUCAAUAGUGAAAGACGGUUUUGCUGUCACUUAUAUAUGGAUCCGCGCCGCAUUAGCUAGUUGGUAAGGUAACGGCUUACCAAGGCGACGAUGCGUAGCCGACCUGAGAGGGGGAUCGGCCACCCUGGAACUGAGACACGGUCAAGACUACGACGGGAGGCAGCAGUAGGGAAUCUUACGCAAUGGGCGAGAGCCUGACAGAGCAACGCCGAGUGAGUGACGAAGGUCUUCGGAUCGUAAAACUCUGUUAUUAGGGAAGAACAAAUGUGUAAGGAAAUAUGCACGUCUUGACGGUACCUAAUAAGAAAGCAACGGCUAACUACGUG
Molecule: ribosomal RNA, 497 nt
Filed under: uncultured bacterium
Lineage: Bacteria
Description: partial 16S ribosomal RNA
Rfam family: Bacterial small subunit ribosomal RNA
Source: RNAcentral